Oncorhynchus tshawytscha (Chinook salmon) is the source of this 2354-nucleotide long non-coding RNA. The record is from Ensembl. NCBI's taxonomy places the organism in Eukaryota, Metazoa, Chordata, Actinopteri, Salmoniformes, Salmonidae.
GCCAUUUGUGACUCAUGCUACAUGUGCCGAUGUCUCUUUAGAUAAAUAUCUUAUAAAUAUCUUAUAUUUAGUAAUGCACAAGGGUCCUGGUUAAAGUAGUGCACUAGGGGCCUGGUAGAAAGUAGUGCACUAGGGUCCUGGUAGAAAGUAGUGCACUAGGGUCCUGGUAGAAAGUAGUGCACUAGGGUCCUGGUAGAAAGUAGUGCACUAGGGUCCUGGUAGAAAGUAGUGCACUAGGGCCCUGGUAGAAAGUAGUGCACUAGGGGCCUGGUAGAAAUAGUGCACUAGGGGCCUGGUAGAAAGUAGUGCACUAGGGUCCUGGUAGAAAGUAGUGCACUAGGGUCCUGGUAGAAAGUAGUGCACUAGGGUCCUGGUUAAAGUAGUGCACUAGGGGCCUGGUAGAAAGUAGUGCACUAGGGUCCUGGUUAAAGUAGUGCACUAGGGGCCUGGUAGAAAUUAGUGCACUAGGGUCCUGGUAGAAAGUAGUGCACUAGGGUCCUGGUAGAAAGUAGUGCACUAGGGUCCUGGUAGAAAGUAGUGCACUAGGGUCCUGGUAGAAAGUAGUGCACUAGGGGCCUGGUAGAAAGUAGUGCACUAUUAACGGAAUAUGGUGCCAUUUGUGACUCAUGCUACAUGUGCCGAUGUCUCUUUAGAUAAAUAUCUUAUAUUUUUACAACAUGUCCUUUGUUGUCCAAUAGAACGAUGAUGAACUAGUUCUGCAUGUUACCACAUGUCCAUUAUUAUCCAAUGGAACGAUGAUGAACUAGUUCUGCAUGUUACCACAUGUCCAUUAUUAUCCAAUGGAACGAUGAUGAACUAGUUCUGCAUGUUACCACAUGUCCAUUAUUAUCCAAUGGAACGAUGAUGAACUAGUUCUGCAUGUUACCACAUGUCAAUUAUUAUCCAAUGGAACGAUGAUGAACUAGUUCUGCAUGUUACCACAUGUCCAUUAUUAUCCAAUGGAACGAUGAUGAACUAGUUCUGCAUGUUACCACAUGUCCAUUAUUAUCCAAUGGGACGAUGAUGAACUAUUUCUGCAUGUUUCCAACCAGGGAAAGAGAAACUGUAGAUAACUGCCAUGAUUAAAAAAAGUCAUGAGAUGUUCAGGGGUUAUUUUAGACAGCGUCAGACAUUAUCAACACCCACAGAGAGCUGGGGUCUUUAGACAGGGUCAGACAUUAUCAACACCCACAGAGAGCUGGGGUCUUUAGACAGGGUCAGACAUUAUCAACACCCACAGAGAGCUGGGGUCUUUAGACAGGGUCAGACAUUAUCAACACCCACAGAGAGCUGGGGUCUUUAGACAGGGUCAGACAUUAUCAACACCCACAGAGAGCUGGGGUCUUUAGACAGGGUCAGACAUUAUCAACACCCACAGAGAGCUGGGGUCUUUAGACAGGGUCAGACAUUAUCAACACCCACAGAGAGCUGGAGUCUUUAGACAGGGUCAGACAUUAUCAACACCCACAGAGAGCUGGGGUCUUUAGACAGGGUCAGACAUUAUCAACACCCACAGAGAGCUGGGGUCUUUAGACAGGGUCAGACAUUAUCAACACCCACAGAGAGCUGGGGUCUUUAGACAGGGUCAGACAUUAUCAACACCCACAGAGAGCUGGGGUCUUUAGACAGGGUCAGACAUGAUCAAUGACAUCCCUGGAGCAAUUGAGGUUGAGUGCCUUGCUCAAGGGCACACAGACAAAUGCUUCACCUUGUCUGCUCCUGGAGUUGAACUAGCGACCUUACGAAUCCCAGCCUGUGUGUGUCUAUACAGUAUUGGAUUGAAUCCCAGCCUGUGUGUCUGUCUAUACAGUAUUGGAUUGAAUCCCAGCCUGUGUGUCUGUCUGUACAGUAUUGGAUUGAAUCCCAGCCAAUGUGUCUGUCUGUACAGUAUUGGAUUGAAUCCCAGCCAAUGUGUCUGUCUAUACAGUAUUGGAUUGAAUCCCAGUCUGUGUGUCUGUCUAUACAGUAUUGGAUUGAAUCCCAGCCUGUCUGUCUGUCUAUACAGUAUUGGAUUGAAUCCCAGCCUAUGUGUCUGUCUGUACAGUGUUGGAUGGAAUCCCAGUCUGUGUGUGUCUAUACAGUAUUGGAUUGAAUCCCAGCCUAUGUGUCUGUCUGUACAGUAUUGGAUUGUAUCCCAACCUAUGUGUCUAUACAGUAUUGGAUUGAAUCCCAGCCUGUGUCUGUCAAUACAGUAUUGGAUUGUAUCCCAACCUAUGUGUCUAUACAGUAUUGGAUUGUAUCCCAACCUAUGUGUCUGUCAAUACAGUAUUGGAUUGAAUCCCAGCCUGUGUGUCUAUUCAGUAUUGGAUUGAAUACCAGUCUGUGUGUGUCUAUACAGUAUUGGAUUGAAUCCC